This is a small nuclear RNA of Erinaceus europaeus (western European hedgehog), 132 nucleotides long. Its record names the gene U4. It matches the Rfam family "U4 spliceosomal RNA". From Rfam's summary of the family: U4 small nuclear RNA (U4 snRNA) is a component of the major U2-dependent spliceosome. Lineage: Eukaryota; Metazoa; Chordata; Mammalia; Eulipotyphla; Erinaceidae. The record is from Ensembl.
AGCUCUGCACAGUGGCAGUAUCUUAGCCAAUGAGGUCUAUCUGAGGCAUGAUUAUUGCUCAUUGCAAACUUUUCCCAAUACCUCGCCAUGACAACUUGAAAUAUAGGCAAUGUUUAACAGUCUCGAUAGAGA